UUCAAUGGCGGUUCAGACGGGGGAGGCUUCGGCCUCGCUGGAAGAUAGUUCCCAGUUGUGAGAACCCUGUCUUGAAUCGCCACCAUC
Molecule: non-coding RNA, 87 nt
Filed under: Xenorhabdus vietnamensis
Lineage: Bacteria; Pseudomonadati; Pseudomonadota; Gammaproteobacteria; Enterobacterales; Morganellaceae
Source: RNAcentral